Molecule: ribosomal RNA, 465 nt
Filed under: Vreelandella stevensii
Lineage: Bacteria; Pseudomonadati; Pseudomonadota; Gammaproteobacteria; Oceanospirillales; Halomonadaceae
Description: partial 16S ribosomal RNA
Rfam family: Bacterial small subunit ribosomal RNA
Source: RNAcentral
CCUACGGGCGGCUGCAGUGGGGAAUAUUGGACAAUGGGCGAAAGCCUGAUCCAGCCAUGCCGCGUGUGUGAAGAAGGCCUUCGGGUUGUAAAGCACUUUCAGUGGGGAAGAAAGCCUUGGGGCUAAUACCCUCGAGGAAGGACAUCACCCACAGAAGAAGCACCGGCUAACUCCGUGCCAGCAGCCGCGGUAAUACGGAGGGUGCGAGCGUUAAUCGGAAUUACUGGGCGUAAAGCGCGCGUAGGCGGUCUAAUAAGCCGGUUGUGAAAGCCCCGGGCUCAACCUGGGAACGGCAUCCGGAACUGUCAGGCUAGAGUGCAGGAGAGGAAGGUAGAAUUCCCGGUGUAGCGGUGAAAUGCGUAGAGAUCGGGAGGAAUACCAGUGGCGAAGGCGGCCUUCUGGACUGACACUGACGCUGAGGUGCGAAAGCGUGGGUAGCAAACAGGAUUAGAUACCCUGGUAGUC